UACGGGGGGAGCAAGCGUUGUUCGGAUUUACUGGGCGUAAAGGGCGCGUAGGCGGUCAGCACAAGUCAGUUGUGAAAUCUCCGAGCUUAACUCGGAAAGGUCAACUGAUACUGUGCGACUAGAGUGCGGAAGGGGCAACUGGAAUUCUUGGUGUAGCGGUGAAAUGCGUAGAUAUCGAGAGGAACACCUGCGGCGAAGGCGGGUAGCUGGGCCGACACUGACGCUGAGGCGCGAAAGCCAGGGGAGCGAACGGG
This 254-nucleotide ribosomal RNA is filed under the name uncultured bacterium. Its description in RNAcentral is "partial 16S ribosomal RNA". It matches the Rfam family "Bacterial small subunit ribosomal RNA", at positions 524 to 776 of the family's 1533-position model. The record is from RNAcentral.